GUGGCAACACCCUGAGUAAAGCGGCGGACGGGUGAGUAACGCGUGGGUAAUCUACCCUCUAGUCUGGGAUAACCUUCCGAAAGGGGGGCUAAUACCGGAUCAUGUCCCUUUGGGGCAUCACAAGGGGAGCAAAGGGGGCGCCCGCAAGGGGCUCUCGCUGGAGGAGGAGCCUGCGUCCGAUUAGCUAGUUGGUGGGGUAAUGGCCCACCAAGGCGACGAUCGGUAGCCGGCCUGAGAGGGCGAUCGGCCACACUGGGACUGAGAUACGGCCCAGACUCCUACGGGAGGCAGCAGUGGGGAAUCUUGCGCAAUGGGCGAAAGCCUGACGCAGCGACGCCGCGUGGGGGACGAAGGCCUUCGGGUUGUAAACCCCUGUCAGGCGGAACGAAUCCCCCGAGGACGAAUACUCCUCGGGGUUGACGGUACCGCCAGAGGAAGCCCCGGCUAACUACGUGCCAGCAGCCGCGGUAAUACGUAGGGGGCUAGCGUUGCUCGGAUUUACUGGGCGUAAAGAGCGCGUAGGCGGCCAGGUAAGUCUGAUGUGAAAGCCCUCGGCUCAACCGAGGAUCCGCAUUGGAAACUACCUGGCUUGAGGCCAGGAGGGGAGGGUGGAAUUCCCGGUG
This 623-nucleotide ribosomal RNA is filed under the name uncultured bacterium. RNAcentral describes it as "bacterial SSU rRNA". It matches the Rfam family "Bacterial small subunit ribosomal RNA", at positions 76 to 675 of the family's 1533-position model. The record is from RNAcentral.